AUGGUUCCCUACAGAAACAGGCCAUCCCCAGUGCAAGCUCCAGUAGGAUCAGGGAGGAAGAGGCAAGGAGGGGGCCGCCCCAUUUCCAAUCACCCAACUUUGCAGCAUUUUCAACACUUCCGAAGGAAGGCUGUUCACGCUGGGCUGGCCGAGACUGGUCGCUGCAGAUUCAGCAGCAAGCAGCUCAGGUUUCUCAGGAAGAGAAAUGUCCAAGCACACAUCUGUCCACACAGAGAUUCUGCACAGCUCGAAUAUCUGAAACCGGUGUACUGCAGAUGGCUGGGGUUCAUUUUUCUGAGCACACGAUCUCAGGAUCACUUCUGGGUCACCCUGGUCACAUGAGAUGGUCUUCCUGCGUGCCCAGGGGCAGGGAGGUAGGAGCACAUGCCUUAAAUUGCAGGAUUAGGGCUUAACAUGGUGAUCGCAGCCCACUCGUGCUGACAGAGCCUCGUACUAGACACAAGCUUGAUGGGGCAGCGUCAACAGUGCCUGCAGACCGCCAAGUCACACAGUUUCCACCAGCUGGCCUUUCAUUCAAAUCCCCCACCCCUCCAUGUGCAAGAUUCAGCACGUCUGGCUAAUGGUAGGGAAGAAACAGGGGCCACAAGACACCCAACCUGCUUAGUCCCCUCAAAGAGGGCGAGAGAAGACAAAGACUGUAACAGGCUGCCGAAAGGAAGAACAUAGGGAGUCCACCCGUCAAGUGUCCUUUAUUCUAAAGAGGUUGUUCCUCUUCAUCCUGAGUUACCAGUCUUUCCGGCCCGUCUGCCAAUGCAGUCUUUCCAGCAGGCCCAAGAAGAAGGAAGUCAACUGGGAUACUCC
This 822-nucleotide long non-coding RNA is filed under the name Ursus maritimus (polar bear). RNAcentral's name for it is "lncRNA (ENSUMAG00000020822.1)". The record is from RNAcentral. Lineage: Eukaryota; Metazoa; Chordata; Mammalia; Carnivora; Ursidae.